AUGGACAUUUACAAGAGCGAGGAGCUCUUCUGGCAGCGUUGGGGCCAAAACUGGCUCCUUAAGGGGGAUGUGAACACUGUCUACUUUCAGGCGAUUGCUAAUGGUCACAGGCGGAAGUGUGUCAUCCCUUUCCUCUGGGACGGGGAUGUUCUUCUGGAAAGCCCACAGGACAUCUCCACCCAUAUUUACUCCUUCUAUAAGGAGUUGUUCUCGGCUGAGCCAAGCGGAGGCUCCUCUCUCUAUGCUGACUUCUAGCCGCUUGAUGACCAGGUCUCUGAUGCGGAGAAUGCGGAUCUUACUCUGCCAUUCUCCCCUAAGGAGGUGGGUCGAGCAAUUGCCUCUAUGAAGGCUGGCUCGGCCCCGGGACCGGAUGGUCUCCCGGUAGUCUUUUUCCAGAAAUUCUGGGAGAUCUUACGCCCGCUCAUUAUGUCCAUGUUUCAUGAGUUCUAUAUAGGAACCUUGGACAUGGUUAGGAAUAACUAUGGUGUCAUAUCCCCAUUCCUCAAAGUAGUUGGGGUGACGGAUAUUCGGCACUUCCGCCCCAUCACGGUGAUCAACGUGUUGGAGUGA
This 570-nucleotide ribosomal RNA is filed under the name Triticum aestivum (bread wheat). RNAcentral describes it as "partial small subunit ribosomal RNA". The record is from RNAcentral. Lineage: Eukaryota; Viridiplantae; Streptophyta; Magnoliopsida; Poales; Poaceae.